AAAAACAUCGCCUCUUGCUCAACCAUAAGAGGUCUCGCCUGCCCAGUGAUAAUAUUCAACGGCCGCGGUACCCUAACCGUGCGAAGGUAGCACAAUCACUUGUUCUUUAAAUAAGGACCAGUAUCAACGGCAUCACGAGAACUUUACUGUCUCCCCCCCCCAAUCAGUGAAACUGAUCCCCCCGUGAAGAAGCGGGGAUACUAAUAUAAGACGAGAAGACCCCAUGGAGCUUCAAGCUCACAGUAAUUCAACGGCAAUACUUCCUACAACCUUCUGAUAUAUACUAGCAAGCUUUAGGUUGGGGCGACCAUGGAGCACAACUUAACCUCCACGAUGUUUUAUUUACUUACCCAUGAACUACUAAUCUAAGGACUUUUAAAACUACCUUAUGACCCAAUUUUUGAUCAACGAACCAAGUUACCCUGGGGAUAACAGCGCAAUCCAUUUUAAGAGCUCAUAUCAACAAAUGGGUUUACGACCUCGAUGUUGGAUCAGGAUAUCCCAGUGGUGCAGCCGCUACCAAAGGUUCGUUUGUUCAACGAUUAAAAUCCUACGUGAUCUG
RNAcentral lists this ribosomal RNA (562 nucleotides) under Aubria masako (Masako ball frog). Its description in RNAcentral is "partial 16S ribosomal RNA". It matches the Rfam family "Bacterial large subunit ribosomal RNA", at positions 1809 to 2607 of the family's 2925-position model. The record is from RNAcentral. Lineage: Eukaryota; Metazoa; Chordata; Amphibia; Anura; Pyxicephalidae.